AUUCUAAAGAGCAUAGGCUCCUUGGCAGAUCUAGCCCUUUACCCAUUUGAGCCCUGUUCAUGCAAACACCUGUAGAAGCUCUUAACUUUGUUGCUUCCAGAUGUCCUACUGAAAUCAAUUAAAUUGUUCAGAGUAAUAAGAUUAAGCACCUCUGUAUGCGUUUGCAGGAUCAAAGAUGACUUGAAGAAUCAAGAGUUGGGCAUAGAACUUAGAAUGAGCUGUCCUUCAGAUCAAAUCUCACAAGCUCUCUAUCCCCACCCAGCACGAUGACCAUUUAUCAUGGCUGAACUCUAACGGAUGAUUCACACGGGCAAAGUGUAGAAAAAAAAAAAACAGUUGUGCCCCAAUUGUUCUUCUGGACAUAACACUGAGUAAACAUGCCAUCAACUGGCAAAAAAACAAAACAAGCUAUGGCUAUAAGAACAAGCAAGACUGCAAGAGCUGGUCUG
Molecule: long non-coding RNA, 449 nt
Organism: Alligator mississippiensis (American alligator)
Lineage: Eukaryota; Metazoa; Chordata; Crocodylia; Alligatoridae
Exons: 3
Source: RefSeq, a predicted model, not a curated record